GUUUCUGUAGUUGAGAUUAGACAACAGUGGUUUUUCAGGCCGCAGGUCUUGGAGAGAAGCCAAGCAGGAACU
Molecule: transfer RNA, 72 nt
Filed under: Hydroprogne caspia (Caspian tern)
Lineage: Eukaryota; Metazoa; Chordata; Aves; Charadriiformes; Laridae
Description: tRNA-Glu
Source: RNAcentral